This 253-nucleotide ribosomal RNA is filed under the name uncultured bacterium. RNAcentral describes it as "partial 16S ribosomal RNA". It matches the Rfam family "Bacterial small subunit ribosomal RNA", at positions 524 to 776 of the family's 1533-position model. The record is from RNAcentral.
UACGAAGGGGGCUAGCGUUGUUCGGAAUCACUGGGCGUAAAGGGCGCGUAGGCGGCUGUUCAAGUCGGGGGUGAAAUCCCGUGGCUCAACCACGGAAUGGCCUUCGAUACUGGACGGCUCGAGACCGGAAGAGGUGAGUGGAACUGCGAGUGUAGAGGUGAAAUUCGUAGAUAUUCGCAAGAACACCAGUGGCGAAGGCGGCUCACUGGCCCGGUACUGACGCUGAGGCACGAAAGCGUGGGGAGCAAACAGG